This is a long non-coding RNA of Arabidopsis lyrata subsp. lyrata, 1545 nucleotides long. RefSeq lists it as uncharacterized. Lineage: Eukaryota; Viridiplantae; Streptophyta; Magnoliopsida; Brassicales; Brassicaceae. The transcript is spliced from 2 exons. The record is from RefSeq and is a predicted model, not a curated record.
AAAAAUACGAAGAGGAUGAUAAGUAUUUUGGGCUCACACAAUAAACUGAUAAACAAGCCCACAAAGGCCCAGUCAUAUCCAUUGAGGUCGUAACAGCUUAAUCGGUGUUUAUUUUUCUUUCUCGUUCUCUCUCCCAAAAUCGCAGGUAAGCUUCUUCGAUUUCGCUUUUAGAUUUUUCGAAUUCAUCCUAUGAUUUCGUUUCUGCACCUUAGUUCUUUCCAAUUCUCGAGGUUUGUGUCAAUUUCAAACUACAGAAGCAUCUAAAUGUUUCGUUGAGUUGAUCGCUGUGAUGUAGAAGCCCUAAAUGUUUCGUCGAAUAGUUUGCAUAUUCUCAUAAUCGGCCCCGUAAUCUAUACUUGGUGAUGUUUUUGCCGAUCUCUGGUGUCUAUUUCAGGUUUUGCAGAAUUUCUAGGGUUUUGGUUUCGAAAAUCGUUUUAGUGUCUUAAUCACUAACGGUUAUUUACUUAGGGGGGUGUAUUGAAACCUGGAUUUUGAAAGAUUUGGGGUUUUUAUUAAAAUCUACUGUUAUUCAAUUUGUGAUUCUUAAAUCACUUUCUAAAUCCAGUGUUAUUGAAUCUAAUAUUUUUACAAAAUCACUUAAAAUAACUUACAAUCUCCUGUUAUUCAAUAAAGAAUUUACAAAAAUCAUAUGAAAUCCAGUGUUAUUCAAAAUUGACAAGUACUUUUAAAAAAAAAUACUGAACAAGGAUUUUAGAAGAUUUUGGAUACUUUUUUUAGUUGAAAAUAGGAACCUAAGACCAUGCCCAGUGGUGAUAUUUUCUGAGUAUCAGAAGCCCAGAAAAUAUUAUUUAAUGGACCAAACAACCUUUUUGGGCCUGAGCCGUAUCAUUGGACUGAUAUUUCUGAUACCCAGUAUCAAAUGAUGUGGCAUGUGAUGAUUGGCGUUGCAACGCGUUUUGGCUACAGAAAAAAAAAAAAAUUCAUUGCAUCUCUUCGAUCCAUUGCAUCUCUUCGAUCCUGCCUUCGGUCCCUCCGCUUCUCCUCACGCCGACGAUUUUGGCUCUCUCACGCCGGCGAUUACGAGCUUGUUCCCUGACGAGCUAAGGAUCAUUCAAGGAGGACCUAUGAAAAUGGGUCUAGAGAAAAGCUUUACGAACAUCUUUAAAGCACGUGAUUUUUACGGGAUUAAUUCUUUCCGUAUAUAGCAAUUAACUUUUUGAUCACUGUAGCAAGUAGUAACGGCUUGAAUCAUCUUUUUUUUCUGGUAUUUACGAACAUUGCAGCAUAAUGUAUAACAUAUAUUGCUGUGCAUGAUAAACCAUAUACCAUAUAUUGGAGUUCAAUAAGAAUUCCUUUUUUCGAGCAAGUAUUGUGCUUCGAUUCCUUUUGCAAAUUACUACUAUUAUAUGGAUUAUUUGAAUUCUAGUUUCAAAUAAUCUGCCAUAUAUGCACACAGCCAAGAUUCUCUUCUUGCCCUCUUCUGGAUUCUCUCAAUCUUUUGGAUGAGGUUUUGUCUUAGACUUGUUUUGGAAACUUUGUUGUAUUGUGUUACUUCUUGAGCAAAUAUAGUCUUCUAACAUUUGG